GACGAACGCUGGCGGCGUGCUUAACACAUGCAAGUCGAACGGAAAGGCCCUGCUUUUGUGGGGUGCUCGAGUGGCGAACGGGUGAGUAACACGUGAGUAACCUGCCCUUGACUUUGGGAUAACUUCAGGAGACUGGGGUUAAUACCGGAUAGGAGCUCCUGCUGCAUGGUGGGGGUUGGAAAGUUUCGGCGGUUGGGGAUGGACUCGCGGCUUAUCAGCUUGUUGGUGGGGUAGUGGCUUACCAAGGCUUUGACGGGUAGCCGGCCUGAGAGGGUGACCGGCCACAUUGGGACUGAGAUACGGCCCAGACUCCUACGGGAGGCAGCAGUGGGGAAUAUUGCACAAUGGGCGGAAGCCUGAUGCAGCAACGCCGCGUGCGGGAUGACGGCCUUCGGGUUGUAAACCGCUUUCGCCUGUGACGAAGCGUGAGUGACGGUAAUGGGUAAAGAAGCACCGGCUAACUACGUG
Molecule: ribosomal RNA, 468 nt
Filed under: uncultured bacterium
Lineage: Bacteria
Description: partial 16S ribosomal RNA
Rfam family: Bacterial small subunit ribosomal RNA
Source: RNAcentral